This 168-nucleotide unclassified non-coding RNA is filed under the name uncultured Helotiales. RNAcentral's name for it is "sequence contains ITS1". Lineage: Eukaryota; Fungi; Ascomycota; Leotiomycetes; Helotiales. The record is from RNAcentral.
CAGAGUUCGUGCCCUCACGGGUAGAUCUCCCACCCUGUGUUAUUAUACCUUUGUUGCUUUGGCGGGCCGCCCUCGGCUACCGGCCCCGGCUGGUACGCGCCCGCCAGAGGACCCAACAAACUCUUUUGAAUUUUUCAGUAUCUUCUGAGUGAAAAAAACAAUAAAUCA